UCCUUUCAGGGUGCGGAUCUGAGGGUUGGGAAGGUCAAGGGCCGUGUGCUGUCAGGCUACGUCCGGCCCUCGCCCCCUCCCCACAGCGGGUACCACCGCUACCAGGUCCGCCUGUACGCACAGCCAGCCCAUGAGCACAUCUCCCUGAGCCCCGAGGAGGACGCCUCGCUGGGUUCCUGGGACCUGAAGGGCUUCGUGGAAGACUUUGGGCUGGGUUACCCUGUGGCCAAGACCCAGUUCCUCACCAAAUACUACGAGGAUUAACUCCAGCUACCACGCCCUUCCCCUGCACCCCCUCACACCACAGAGCCACCUCCUCCCGGAGCUCAGGGGACCCCAGGACCCACCCAGGGUGCGCCCACCCUGCUCCCCACCCAGAUCCACAGCCCCAGCCCCUCCAUUCCCACACCUGAGUUCCCCUUUCCCAUCCCCAGCGGUGUCCCAGCUCACCCUGGCUAUCCCAGGAAGGGAUGGCGUCACCUCUUCUCCUCCCCUCACCCCGUUUUCCAGACCUUACCCCCCCAGCAUGUCCCUCCUGCACUUUGGGGACCUUGAGUAGUUCUAAUGCCUGCAGUUUCCAGAAUAAAGUAUGGAUGGAGCACACGGGGGAGUCACGGGCUCCUUGCUGGCAG
This is a long non-coding RNA of Empidonax traillii (willow flycatcher), 632 nucleotides long. RefSeq lists it as uncharacterized. The transcript is spliced from 3 exons. The record is from RefSeq and is a predicted model, not a curated record. Lineage: Eukaryota; Metazoa; Chordata; Aves; Passeriformes; Tyrannidae.